Non-coding RNA from Hypoxylon sp. FL0890, 88 nucleotides. Lineage: Eukaryota; Fungi; Ascomycota; Sordariomycetes; Xylariales; Hypoxylaceae. The record is from the annotation of a GenBank genome assembly.
GCCUGCAUGGAGUAGUGGUUAACUCACCGGCAUCCGGCCCUCUCAGUCCAGAAAGCCGGGAACCCGGGUUCAAAUCCCGGUGCAGGUG